GACGAACGCUGGCGGCGUGCUUAACACAUGCAAGUCGAACGGAAAGGCCCUGCUUUUGUGGGGUGCUCGAGUGGCGAACGGGUGAGUAACACGUGAGUAACCUGCCCUUGACUUUGGGAUAACUUCAGGAAACUGGGGUUAUACCGGAAAGGGGGCUCUUGCGCAUGGUGGGGGGUGGGAAGGUUCGGCGGUUGGGGAUGGACUCGCGGCUUAUCGGCUUGUUGGUGGGGUAGUGGCUUACCAAGGCUUUGACGGGUAGCCGGCCUGAGAGGGUGACCGGCCACAUUGGGACUGAGAUACGGCCCAGACUCCUACGGGAGGCAGCAGUGGGGAAUAUUGCACAAUGGGCGGAAGCCUGAUGCAGCAACGCCGCGUGCGGGAUGACGGCCUUCGGGUUGUAAACCGCUUUCGCCUGUGACGAAGCGUGAGUGACGGUAAUGGGUAAAGAAGCACCGGCUAACUACGUG
This 467-nucleotide ribosomal RNA is filed under the name uncultured bacterium. Its description in RNAcentral is "partial 16S ribosomal RNA". It matches the Rfam family "Bacterial small subunit ribosomal RNA", at positions 28 to 507 of the family's 1533-position model. The record is from RNAcentral.